Molecule: long non-coding RNA, 4063 nt
Organism: Aedes albopictus (Asian tiger mosquito)
Lineage: Eukaryota; Metazoa; Arthropoda; Insecta; Diptera; Culicidae
Exons: 2
Source: RefSeq, a predicted model, not a curated record
UCUACCCGAACCCGACGGGUACGGGUCGGGUUCGGGCUUGGAAAUUUUCAAAAAUUCGGGUUCGGGUCGGGUCCGGGUUUGAAAAAUUUCAAAAUUCUCGGGUACGGGUCGGGUCGGGUUCGAAUAACGUCGGGUGAAAGCCGGGUUUUAUGCCAGUGUACAUAAAUUAGUAUUUAGAAAAGCAUUCUAUUUAACAUAAACGACACUUUCAACAAUUAUUUUUGGACUCGGGUUUUGGUCGGGUUCAUUGAGAGAUAUUUUUUCGGGUUCGGGUCGGGUUCGGGUUUCAUUGACGAAAUUUUUUCGGGUCCGGGUCGGGUCCGGGUUUGACGAAAAAAAUUUUUUCGGGUUCGGGUCGGGUCCGGGUUUCGAAAUCUGAAAUUGUUCGGGUACGGGUCGGGUUCGGGUCUGAGAAAUCUGAAACCCGACCAUCUCUAUUGAUCUUCGGGGAUCGGACCCUUCACUUUUGUGAACAAAACUCCUACAGAUUUCCAGUUGUAUGUUGCAAGUCGUAUGUUUUUGUAGUUUUUCUGGGUUUCUUGCAACAUACAACUGGAAAUCUGUAGGAGUUUUGUUCACAAAAGUGAAGGAUCCGAUCCCCGAAGAUCAACAGACCGAUGUCAUCUACUCCUUCUCAUGCAACGACUGCUCUGCCUGCUACACAGAGUUGAUGUACACGUGCUGCAGUCCCGUGUACGGGAGCCACAUGACAAGGUAGCUCCCAGGAGCACUGUACAUUUUGAGACUGAAAGUUGUGCGCCUCAUUUUUCUCAAGAUGUGUCUCAUGAGCUUCGUCUCAUGCGCUGAUUAAAUUAGAAAAUUUCACGACAAAAACUUCCUAAACGAACGAGAAUUGAAACCUUAACCUUUGCAUUGAGAGUCCCUAGUCGUAUCACAUAGACCAACCAGGCACUUGAGUUGUGUACGGAAAAAGUUGUUGAGCUUCUUCGUCACCAAGAAGUUGUUUUUCACCUUAGAUACCAACAGCUCACGCAGCGCAUGAGACGAACUCCCCGGGAGAUAUGAGCUUAGCUCGCACCCACCAGAUUUUCGUGAGCCUCCUAGCAGCGCAGCACACUGCGAUUUUGAAGAGCUGGGAGACAAUUUGGUGGGAAGCUCGCUGUCACAUUUUUGUACACAUGAGCAAUGGGAAACUCUGCUGCUACAUAGGCAUGACGACAAACAGGCUCAAAACAAGGAUCAGCGGCCACAAAACACACUACAACCUGCUAGACAGACUACAGCAAACAGGAGUCAACAUAACGGAUCCACAAAUCAUCCAGCUCCAGCAGAAAACAGCCCUAAUGGAACACACGAUCGUCGAGAGCCACCGAUUCAACCUAGAAAACACGAAAAUUUUAGACAAAACAAACAAAUCACACACACUCCCAUAUUUGGAAAUGUGUCACAUCGUGAACAACAGCAACUGCAUCAACCGAAGAACAGACACAGAGGGUUUAAAUGCAAUAUACGCAGGAAUACUUCACAAGCUAGGAACGAAAAAACAGAAAAACACAGAAAAUGUAAACACACACGGAAUCACAACAAACACGGAUAAUACACAUACACACAACAUAAUCGAAACACCACUCACACAAGAUUGAAAACGUCAAUAUCAGUCCCGAAAGCGUAGAAUGCAGGUGCAAGAAAAAAGCGAAGGCAGAAAGAAACCACAGAAGCGAUAAAAAACAAGCUUUGUGCGAUUAAGCUGCUAUAAAGUUGCGAAACACAGUGUCGGGCGUAAAAAUCGACACACAUGCAGCACCAAAGACGCCAUUACAAACCAUCUACAGACACAAUACAGACAACCAAAUGUAGGCCACUACACAUGUUUACAAAAAUACAAACUCCUGUAAGUAGGGAAAAAUGGGGCACAUUGAGGGAAAGAAUCGGAAAUCAAUGUAUAUUCAAACACCUAAUUUUUAGAUCCCCUGAAGAAGGUUCAAUAAAGAACCGAAACGUCGGACGUACGAGAUAAAACUGUGUUUGCUAACCACUCAGACAGCUAUUGCCGAAAAAUUAUCUCGCUCAUCGAAAGUUUCAGUCGUAAACGAUAGUCAUAUCUCUGAAGAGAUUCCUCCCGAAUCUCUGGAGAUUUUGCUCCAGAGUCUCCGGGGAGAUCUCACCUGGAACUCAGGAGAUUUUUUUCACAAUAUCUGUAGAAGUUCUUCCAAAAUCUCUGGAUAGAUUCAUUCACCUCGCAUCUUUGGAGAGAUUUUACCAGAGGGAUUCCUCUGAAAUCCUUGCAAUGUACCAUCGGGGUUGAUUCCUGGUAUUGAUUCCUCAAUAAUUUCAUAAGGGUUUUGUUUCAGAAUGUUUGGAGAAUUUCCCUUGAAAUUUUUGAAGAGGGUUCAACAGAAGCUCAACAGAGAUGUUAAGAUUUCCUGUGGAGUUUUUGAGAACCAACCAGAAUCUAGUUCCAGUAACCUAAUGCCGGAACCCCUGGAAGUAAAUUUAAUCCGCUUCGAUCAAGAGCAAACGUGCAUUCACAACAAAAAUGCGACUUGCCAAUAACCUCGAACUCCAGUGCAGAAUUUUCCCCAACGCGGAAGUAAUCGAAAAAUUCGUCAUCAUUUGCGACUAAUGACAUUCACGAGCGUUGGGCACACUGAUAAGCCACUCCACCCAGCUGAUACCACUCACCCAGCCUAGCAACGGGCGGGCAUCUCGAGUGGCUCAGCAGAACCGCCCGAGGUUUGCCUAAUCCCCGCGCCGGUAGACGCCUGCUGCAUCGUUCGCGGAGGGCACGCGCGCGCAUCCAGCUUUUGUUUGGAUUACUUACCACCGACGACGGACGGCCAUCAUUGCAUUGGCGAGGUGUUUUGUUUGACUUUCGCUGUUUACUUAGCUGUGCUACUUAGGAGGAUGGAAUAGAAAUUGCAAUUUCAAACGAUGAGUACGAGUGGCGGCUGUCUGGGCAGCGCCUGGCCUGUGCAUACAAUGUUAAACAUUUGCAAUGACGACGACGCAACAACGCCGGCUGAUAAGGCCGAUGCCACUCGUCCCAUCUCAGCUCGGACUAUUAUAGGAAGUGUGAAGUGUGUGGGAUUUGCUGCAAUGUGUAGCUCAAUCAACACUGUAAAUGUUGUACAAUUUCUGAUGGGUGUCGUUUUGCUAGUCUGACCUUCGAGGAGUGGAAAUGUAGAUCUUCGAACCCAUUCAGAGUGACACUGCUCAACUAGGGCACUUCCGCCGGCCGGAGGAAGACUUGUGCGUGCAACCGACCAAUCUUGGAGUUCUGUCUCACGGUGCGACUCUAGGACCAGAACAGGCCCCAAGUGGCCUAGCCUGGAAGAACAACAAUUUAACGAUAAGUGACAGCUAAAUGAUUGCUUUCCGUUCCCACUACUACCCGGUUCUGGCUGGACUACCUUGACGCGUAGUGCUCGCACCUAGCUUUUUCUUCCAUCGGUGCAGAGGAAGCCAAUCUCUAGGCCACCACUACACUUCGUCCAUUGUCUCUAAUUAAGCAAUCCAGGCCGAUCGUCCAGGCAGGGAACUACGCUCCGAGCCGAGACAAUGACUGGUCCUCACGCGAUCAAUUGCAUUGAAGCGAAUUUUAAUUUUACAUUUUAUUAAUUCAAUCACACCAACCAGAGCAGGCACGACAUCAGGCAGAACAGCACGGCUCAACCGAAUCGCCGGAACACACAUGCUUGACAGACAUGCCCAUACGUUCGACCGGAGACGACGACGAUGGAACUUUGUGCAGCGAGGAUGGAGGGAAGCAACAGUUCUUGGCACGCGUUUCCUUGAGCUGGAAAGGCGUCGUCCAAAAGUUUUCUUCAAGAGAAUCCCACAGGUGGGCUGCUGGCUCAGAGCCAGAGUUGAUGGCGACAAAGUUUGUGGCCCAGCCAUAAGCAACAAAGCAGAUAUUCUCCUCCGUCGAGUGGUGUGUAACCGACGUCAUUCGCACUUGCCCUGUUCUUUGCUGUCGUUCCGAAUGGCAUGAUUUGGAACAAUGAGAGCAAAAUAAGUUAUUACCGGGUAUGGUGCCAUUCAUGCACUGAAUAAGUAACAUUAAGUGCUCGAAAUAUAACGAUAGUGAAAUGUUUGUACGUAC